This 253-nucleotide ribosomal RNA is filed under the name uncultured bacterium. RNAcentral describes it as "partial 16S ribosomal RNA". It matches the Rfam family "Bacterial small subunit ribosomal RNA", at positions 524 to 776 of the family's 1533-position model. The record is from RNAcentral.
UACGAAGGGGGCUAGCGUUGUUCGGAAUUACUGGGCGUAAAGCGCGCGCAGGCGGUCUUCUAAGUCAGUGGUGAAAGCCCGGAGCUCAACCCCGGAACUGCCAUUGAAACUGUGAGACUUGAGGACGAGAGAGGUGAGUGGAAUUCCCAGUGUAGAGGUGAAAUGCGUAGAUAUUGGGAGGAACACUGGUGGCGAAGGCGGCUCACUGGCUCGUAUCUGACGCUCAGGCGCGACAGCGUGGGGAGCAAACAGG